RNAcentral lists this ribosomal RNA (2224 nucleotides) under human gut metagenome. RNAcentral describes it as "bacterial LSU rRNA". It matches the Rfam family "Bacterial large subunit ribosomal RNA", at positions 3 to 2317 of the family's 2925-position model. The record is from RNAcentral.
UUAAGCUAAUAAGAGCGCAGGGAGGAUGCCUUGGCAUCAGGAGCCGAUGAAGGACGCGGUAAGCUGCGAAAAGCUCCGGGGAGUGGCAAGCACACUUUGAUCCGGAGAUAUCCGAAUGGAGCAAUCCACAUGAGUGAAGCUCAUGUAUCAUAUACUGAAUAAAUAGGUAUAUGAGGGGAACCGUCUGAACUGAAACAUCUAAGUAGGACGAGGAAAAGAAAUCAACCGAGAUUCCGCUAGUAGUGGCGAGCGAACGCGGAAGAGGCUAAACCAGAGUCAGCAAUGACUUUGGGGUUUGGACUGCAUUUAGUAUCAAUGAGGUCUAGUCGAAGUACAUGGGAAGGUACAUCGAAGAGGGUGAGAAUCCCGUAGACGAAAGAUCAAGUUGGCGAGCAGUAUCCAAAGUACCGCCGGACACGUGAAACCCGGUGGGAACACGGGGGGACCAUCCUCCAAGCCUAAAUACUACCUGAUGACCGAUAGCGCAUAGUACUGUGAAGGAAAGGUGAAAAGAACCCCGGGAGGGGAGUGAAAGAGAGCCUGAAACCCUGUGCUUACAAGCACACAGAGCACGUCAAAGUGUGAUGUGGUACCUAUUGUAGAAUGGUCCGGCGAGUUAUUUUAUGCAGCGAGGUUAAGGACUUAAGGUCUGUAGCCGAAGUGAAAGCGAGUGUUAAUAGCACGAAACAGUUGCAUGCAAUAGACCCGAAACCGGGUGACCUAUCCAUGUCCAGGCUGAAGUGAGGGUAAAACCUCAUGGAGGGCCGAACCGACUCCCGUUGAAAUGGUAGCGGAUGAGGUGUGGAUAGCGGAGAAAUUCCAAUCGAACCCGGAGAUAGCUGGUUCUCCCCGAAACCGUUUUAGGACGGGCCUCGUGUGAAGAUUAUCGGAGGUAAAGCACUGAAUAGCCUAGGGGGCGAGAGCCUACCGAAGCUUAUCAAACUCUGAAUGCCGAAUAAUCGUUUCACGGGAGUCAGACUGUGUGAGAUAAGUUUCAUAGUCAAAAGGGAAACAGCCCAGACCCACAGCUAAGGUCCCAAAGUGUAUUUAAGUGGAAAACGAUGUGAAGUUGCGUAGACAACCAGGAUGUUGGCUUAGAAGCAGCCACUCAUUAAAAGAGUGCGUAAUAGCUCACUGGUCGAGUGACUUUGCGCGGAAAAUUUAACGGGGCUAAAAUACACACCGAAGCUUGGGCUUGACGCAUUGCGUCAGGGGUAGGGGAGCGUCGUGUAAGGGGCGAAGUCGUAUCGUAAGGGACGGUGGACUUUACACGAGUGAGAAUGCCGGAAUGAGUAGCGAGAAUUAUGUGAGAAUCAUAAUGGUCGAAAGCCUAAGGUUUUUGGAGGAAGGUUCGUCCGCUCCAAGUAAGCCGGGAGCUAAGGUCAGGCGGAAACGCGUAGCCGAUGCACAUACGGUUGAAAUUCCGUAGCCUCAGAAAGAUUUAAGCAGAGGGACACUUUGAAAGGACUGUAGCCGGGUGUUGGUUACCCCGGUCGUAAGGGAACGAAAUUAAGUAGUGAAGGCAGUCUGGACGGAGGCGAGAAAAGCUCUGUGUAUAUCUAAUGAGCCCGUACCGCAAACCGACACAGGUAGGUGGGAUGAGAAUUCUAAGACCAACGGGAGAAGGGUAGUUAAGGAACUCGGCAAAUUGUCCCCGUAACUUCGGAAUAAGGGGAGCCUGCGAAAGCAGGCCGCAGAGAAUUGGCCCAGGCGACUGUUUAUCAAAAACACAGCUCUAUGCUAAAUCGAAAGAUGACGUAUAUGGGGUGACACCUGCCCGGUGCUGGAAGGUUAAGAGGAGAUGUGAGAGCAUCGAAUUGAAGCCCCAGUAAACGGCGGCCGUAACUAUAACGGUCCUAAGGUAGCGAAAUUCCUUGUCAGGUAAGUUCUGACCCGCACGAAUGGUGUAACGAUCUGGGCACUGUCUCGACUACCCGCCCGGCGAAAUUGUAGUACCGGUGAAGAUGCCGGUUACCCGCGACUAGACGGAAAGACCCCAUGGAGCUUUACUGUAGCUUAAUAUUGGAUUUCGGCAGUUCAUGUACAGGAUAGGUGGGAGACUAUGAAACACGGGCGUCAGCUUGUGCGGAGUCGUCCUUGGGAUACCACUCUUGGAUUGCUGGAAUUCUAACCUGCGGCCCUGAAUCGGGUCGGGGGACAUUGUUAGGUGGGCAGUUUGACUGGGGCGGUCGCCUCCAAAAGAGUAACGGAGGCGCUCAAAGGU